This 1101-nucleotide long non-coding RNA is filed under the name Mytilus galloprovincialis (Mediterranean mussel). Lineage: Eukaryota; Metazoa; Mollusca; Bivalvia; Mytilida; Mytilidae. The record is from RNAcentral.
GGUUAUUAUCUUGAAUAUUAUUAUAGAUAGAGAUAAACUGUAAACAGCAAUAAUGUUCAGCAAAGUAAGAUCUACAAAUAAGUCAACAAGACCAAAAUGGUCAGUUGACCACUUUAGGAGUUAUUGCCCUUUAUAGUCAAUUUUUAACCAUUUUUCGUAAAUCUUAGUAAUCUUUUAGAAAAAUCUUCUCCUCUGAAACCACUGGGCCAAAUUUAACCAAACUUAGCCAUAAUCAUCAUUGGGGUAUCUAGUUAAAAAAAUGUGUCCGGUAAAUCGGCCAACAAACCAAGAUGGCCGCCAUGGCUAAAAAUAGAACAUGGGGGUAAAAUGCAGUUUUUUGGCUUAUAACUCAAAAACCAAAGCAUUAAGAGCAAAUCUGACAGGAAGUAAAAUUGUUGAUCAGGUCACGAUCUAUCUGCCCUGGAAUUUUCAGAUGAAUCGGAUAAUCGGUUGUUAGGUUGCUGCCCCUGAAUUGGUAAUUUUGAGGAAAUUUUGCUGUUUUUUUGUUUAAUAUUAUCUUGAAUAUUAUUAUAGAUAGAGAUAAACUGUAAACAGCAAUAAUGUACAGCAAAGUAAGAACUAAAAAUAAGUCACUAUGACCAAAAUAGUCAAUUGACCCCCUAAGGAGUUAUUGCCCUUCAUAGUCAAUUUUUAACAAUUUUCUUAGAAUUUGAAGAUUUUCAAUAACAUUUUCCACAGAAAGUACUGUUAUAGAUAGAGAUAAUUGUAAGCAGCAAGAAUGUUUAGUAAAGUAAGAUCUACAAACACAUCACCAUCGCCAAAACACAAUUUUGUCAUGAAUCCAUCUGUGUCCAUUGUUUAAUAUUCACAUAGACCAAGGUGAGCGACACAGGCUCUUUAGAGCCUCUAGUUUAACAAUACGAACAAGAAUCACUUAUGCUUGGUCUCUAAAAAUUUGACGAAAAAAAUCCUGUUGAUUGCACCCAUAAUUUUUUAGUAAGUCAUGUAACUAUAUCGCUUUGUCGUUAACCUACUAAAGCAUGUUAUUUUGUUCUAUUAGAAAAAUUUUAAAUUUAGAAAAAAACUCAUCAUAGAUACCAAGAUUGAAAUUUCGUAUUGCACAAGACACGCGCUUCGUAU